CGGGGCAGCAGGGAGAGGCGGAGGUAGACAGUGUGUAAUUGCCAAGCCAGAAGGCUGGCCUGUGGCCAAUGCGUUGAGUUUAACCGCCUGUGUCACUGCCCGCCACAUCCAAGGAGGAUGCCGCCCGCGGCCAUGUUUCCAGGCUGAGUGCGCCACCGCGGGCUGGUCUGGGCCAACCUUGGGAGGACACGAGCAAAAGUGAUCAAACCUCGUAAGCCAGAAACCAUUCCAAAGGAACUUCAGUCAUGCCACUGAGAGGACGAGCAGCGCUUCGAGGGUAUACACCCUGCCACAGCGUCCAGAGGUGUGUGUACCACGGAGGCAGGGGGAAGCGAGACUGAAUGCUAUGAGCAGUGAGCACCAAUACGCCUUUCUAUGGAGCCACCACACCUCCAAUUCACAGGCUGCCUUGGCCCCUCUUUAGGGACCCAGUGCCUGGUCCUCUGGGAUCCCUGGAGAGGGCUGCCUCUGGGUGCC
RNAcentral lists this long non-coding RNA (477 nucleotides) under Chinchilla lanigera (long-tailed chinchilla). RNAcentral describes it as "lncRNA (ENSCLAG00000024277.1)". Lineage: Eukaryota; Metazoa; Chordata; Mammalia; Rodentia; Chinchillidae. The record is from RNAcentral.